RNAcentral lists this ribosomal RNA (324 nucleotides) under uncultured bacterium. Its description in RNAcentral is "bacterial SSU rRNA". It matches the Rfam family "Bacterial small subunit ribosomal RNA", at positions 149 to 507 of the family's 1533-position model. The record is from RNAcentral.
GUUGGAAACGACUGCUAAUACCUAUACGCCCUUCGGGGAAAGAUUUAUCGCUAUCAGAUUGGACCCGCGCUAGAUUAGAUAGUUGGUGAGGUAAUGGCUCACCAAGUCUACGAUCUAUAGCUGGUUUGAGAAGAUGAUCAGCCACAUUGGGACUGAGACACGGCCCAGACUCCUACGGGAGGCAGCAGUGGGGAAUAUUGUACAAUGGACGCAAGUCUGAUACAGCAAUGCCGCGUGAGUGAAGAAGGCCUUAGGGUUUGUAAAACUCUUUCGCUAGGGAAGAUAAUGACGGUACCUAGUAAAGAAGUCCCGGCUAACCCCGUG